CUAAGAAGCAAAGAGGCCUCCUAUACAGCAAGAUGAGAACUGCACACAUAGGAAGCUUAGCUGGUUGAGAAAAAUUAGUAAAAGGUUACUCUGUCAUUUAGAUGUAUAUUCAUUUCUCAUCUGAAUUAAGCAUAUACUACAUUUUCUAUAUGAAUAAAAACAUGCUGCCAAUGAACAAUGACCUAUGCAGGAGAAGGAAACCCAAUGUAAAUUCCUUUUAACACUAGAGCAGGAGAGUAAAACUGUCUCUUUAUUAUUAAGGUUAAUCUGAUUAGAUUGGAGAGUUUUUUGGCAUUUUUCUGCCUUUGGAGUUGUUUGAAGGAGGCUUCAGAGGAAAAGCAACAAUUUCCAGUGAACCCAAAUACAGCAGCUGCCCCUAUAAAAAUUCAACACGAGAGGACUUACACCCAACAUCCUCCCCAACUCUGAAAAGUGGUCCAGAGAAGACACCUUUCAGGCUUUUCACCCAGUUCUCAACAACCUCCUUUCUCUGGAAAAUGCCCCUUGCCAAACUAGACAUUCCAGGCAUAUUUAUACUCUGCGACCUACCCUCCUGGCUAUGGUGACCUAUGUUGGACCAGAGUUAGAAAUUUGGAAUUGGGGCUAAGAAUGUCCAGUUUCAAUCUGGGCUGGUCCCGUAAGCAGGGAAAGCACAGGGUCGUUGCAGACAGCAACGUUCUCUACCAAGUGGACAGGAGAAAGAGUAUGAGAGUGUGUGGAAAAAAGCAGCAGGAAGCAGCUGCAGGGAUAAGAGAGGGACUUUCUGGAUUCCUUCACCCAGACCCCCUCCGCUCCCUUCCUCCAACACCAUCCCUUCUGGCCUGGACUCCUGUCCACUGUAAAUGAAUUCCUGGACAACCUCACACUCUUAGACCUCUGCUUCCAUCUGACUGAUCCUCCUCAACUUGACUGAAAGCUGGAUUGGAAGAGCAUCAAUUUCAGUGCUGCAUCAUGUUUAUCUCCCCAGGUCAUAAAUGCACAUACACAUUGCUUCCCUGGCACUCAGGGUGUACUCAACACAUAUUUAUUGGAUGACUAAUGAUAUCACUGUCCUUGAAGGCCUCUCAGUGGAGAAAGCUCAUCCACUUGCUUCCCACACACUACGAAGACAGGUGGACAUUCUUCCUGCUUCCUCCUGCUGCUUCUAGACACCACUCCUCCUCCCUUAAAAACAAAAACAAAACACCGAAAAGCCAACAACAGCUAUUCUUCUCUGAGGCUUAUGACAUCACAGUCAUCCACCCAGCUCAACUGCAUUCUUCAAACAAGUUUGCUUCUCCGUGUUACACACAGUCCAUUUUGGGGUAACACUUGGGAAUGGCCUGGUGAGAACUGGUAUGUCUCAGGGUAGCUACAUGGUUGAGACUACAUAUGCUAGAUAAAGAGGACAGUUCAGUCAAUUCUGGUCAGUUCCGCUCAUGCAAGCAGCUAAACUACAUAAGUUGGCUUUGAGAAAAAGCUCAUCUCCCUCGACAAUAAGUGCUUUGACCUGGUAGAGCUCCUCACUAAAACUGAACUGAGUGGACAUUACAGCUUUUGGUAUUUCUCUAAGACAAUUUCUUUGGCACAAUGAAUAAUACCCUAGAUUCUUUACAUUUCAUCAGCACCAAGACCUAAAACACCAUUCAUUUGUUCUACAUUGUACAGAGCCAGGAUAAGGAAGAUGUCCCAGGAAUGACCAUAGCGGUUGGCAAGAUGAUGCAGUUUCCCUUUAUAAGGUCCUCAUGACCUGUAUGUGGUUCAAUUAUCUCUGAGCAAUUAAAUCCUAAUGGGGAAAAGUACUGAAAAGAAAAUUGCAAUUAUACACAUGUGUAGCUGCCUGCACCACACUUCAAACCCCUUUUAUUUCUUGGUCUCUGUGUAACACGAGAGCUAUGUAGAAAACAAUUAGGACCAGAGAGCUUCUUCCUACAUAAUCAGAGAGCACAUCACUAGUGUGAUUCCCAGCCUGACACAGAAGCUGUGGGGGUAAAAGCCAUAUGUCCAACCUAGCAGGCAAGGUAUAAUUUCACAUGCUUUCUCAGGACCCUAAUGAAACUCAAAAAAACAGAGUUGAAUUGUUUGGCACUGAAAAAUCAGAUUCCUUGGUGCCCAACUGCUGCUCACUGCUUCCUAAGCAAGGAGAAUCAUGCAGAUGGGUAAAAGAAGACAUAGGAGGCUAUGGUAAAAGUGACAAUUUGCAUACAGCCAAGCAAUACCCUUGACCAAAUCCAGAUACCUCCAAGGAAGCUCCAAUAAUAAGUAGGUACACAUACAUUUCUGCAGAGUCACACCCACUGGCAUGUUGGGUGCACAGAACAGUAGUAAUGACUGAUUCUAAGAAUCAGCCCAGGAGGGUCUGGCCAUAAGGUACUCAUAACAGAGUAACAUGUACCACUACGCGCGCGCGCGCACACACACACACACACACACACACACACACACACACACAGUCCUUGCCUCCUGCCUACCUGAAGCAGCUCCUGCAUAUAGUACAAAAAAGUCCUGGAUGGUCACAGUUAGGUGGGAUAACAGUGAUGUUUUACAUCCUCUUACUCAUUGGUCUUGGUUGUUGCUUAAACUGUCAGGCUCCAAACUUAUAAUCAAAUGAUAAAAUUAUCCGAAGUCAUCAUGUACAUCUUACUUUCCAUUUAAAUAUUAUAUGAAUUAUGUGCCAUUGUAUAGCUCUAAAGCAUGCGAUUGGCUCAUAAAAUCUUUAAUGUUCCAAUUGUCCAUCUUAGGAAAUAUCAAUCAAAAUAGAUACAAUAUGCUGCAUGAGAUUCCUUUUCCAAUUCAGGUCCUCACCAAGACAUUCAACCAAGCAUGUGAGCAUAUCUAAAUUCAAUGUUCAUGGCCAUGAACAAUGUCUGAAGC
Molecule: long non-coding RNA, 2853 nt
Filed under: Canis lupus familiaris (dog)
Lineage: Eukaryota; Metazoa; Chordata; Mammalia; Carnivora; Canidae
Description: lncRNA (ENSCAFG00000056735.1)
Source: RNAcentral